UACACUCCUACGGGAGGCAGCAGUGGGGAAUUUUGGACAAUGGGCGAAAGCCUGAUCCAGCAAUGCCGCGUGAGUGAAGAAGGCCUUCGGGUUGUAAAGCUCUUUUGUCAGGGAAGAAACGGUGAAAGCUAAUAUCUUUUGCUAAUGACGGUACCUGAAGAAUAAGCACCGGCUAACUACGUGCCAGCAGCCGCGGUAAUACGUAGGGUGCAAGCGUUAAUCGGAAUUACUGGGCGUAAAGCGUGCGCAGGCGGUUUUGUAAGUCUGAUGUGAAAUCCCCGGGCUCAACCUGGGAAUUGCAUUGGAGACUGCAAGGCUAGAAUCUGGCAGAGGGGGGUAGAAUUCCACGUGUAGCAGUGAAAUGCGUAGAUAUGUGGAGGAACACCGAUGGCGAAGGCAGCCCCCUGGGUCAAGAUUGACGCUCAUGCACGAAAGCGUGGGGAGCAAACAGGAUUAGAUACCCCAGUAGUCC
Molecule: ribosomal RNA, 472 nt
Filed under: uncultured organism
Description: partial 16S ribosomal RNA
Rfam family: Bacterial small subunit ribosomal RNA
Source: RNAcentral